AUGCUUAUAAAAGCAAAACAUUGGAGUCAUCUAAAGAUCCAAUGAUCAGGCGAUGCUUUAGUAAAAUAUGAUAUAUAUACUUAAUAGAAUAGCAAAGCAGAAAAAAAAAAGGGAGUGAAGGACUCACAGCUUUGAGGAGAACUGACCAGAAGAGCUCCCCAAACAGGAGCAUCAAACUGGACUUCGUGUGAGGCAGAAAUACACCUUGAUUGUAUGAAGCCACUGAGAUUUCAGGGUUUGUUUGUUAAUGCAUCAUAAUGUGACCGACUCUGACUAAUAGACUAAAAACUUACUGAAAGUAAAGAAAUCCACAGGAGAUAAAUUCAUAAAUACAUUUUGAAAGAGAGAAGGCCCAGGGGGGCAAUUGAUGACAAACAGAGGAGAGACAGCUACAGUUCCAGUAUGUGCAGGUUAAGUCUACAGUGGAGGUGGGAAACAGCCUUUGCAGAAGAAACCUACAAAUACCAUCAAGGAGGAGGACAGGUGUGAGGCACAGAACUGAAAACAAGGAAUUAGUUGAAUACCUGGCAAUAGAAAAGUUGGACCAGUUACCCUGUUCACAGAGAGGUAGGUAAGCCAGUGUUUACCUUCCAGGAACAAAAACAAAAUCUUCUCUAAGCAACGGAAAGAAAGGGAGCAGGAUGGAGGGAGGGGAGACAUGAGGAGGAAUGAUCCAGUAGGAUUUCCUAAAAGGGAGAAUAGAGAAAAUGAAGAGUGAGAGAUUAUUAGGGAAAUAAUAAUCAAAUAUUCUCAGACCUGGAGAAAGUGAGUCUUUUAUUUGUAUGGGCUCAUGGAGUACGCUGCAUAUAAAGGGAACCACUUGGACACAGAAUUGAAAUUUCAAAACAGCAAAGAACAAAAAAAGAUGAAUUCAAAACCAAUGGUGUAUCCAUACUACCUGAAAUUAUUAAGUGGCCACUGACAUAAUUGAAAACUGAAGCAGUUCAAAGUGACAACCUCUGAGAAGGACUGUUGUUGGACGGGAUGGGUGAGGGGCUUGAUUUUCAUUAGAAAUUCCUUUGUCUGCUUUGUGUUUCUUGCUUUUGUGCAUUCCCUGG
RNAcentral lists this long non-coding RNA (1058 nucleotides) under Homo sapiens (human). RNAcentral's name for it is "HSALNT0079572". Lineage: Eukaryota; Metazoa; Chordata; Mammalia; Primates; Hominidae. The record is from RNAcentral.